UACGUAGGGGGCUAGCGUUGUCCGGAUUUAUUGGGCGUAAAGAGCGUGUAGGCGGCCAGGUAGGUCUGCUGUGAAAACUCGAGGCUCAACCUCGAGACGUCGGCGGAAACCAUCUGGCUAGAGUCCGGAAGAGGAGAGUGGAAUUCCUGGUGUAGCGGUGAAAUGCGCAGAUAUCAGGAAGGACACCCGUGGCGAAGGCGGCUCUCUGGGACGGUACUGACGCUGAGACGCGAAAGCGUGGGGAGCGAACAGG
RNAcentral lists this ribosomal RNA (253 nucleotides) under uncultured bacterium. Its description in RNAcentral is "partial 16S ribosomal RNA". It matches the Rfam family "Bacterial small subunit ribosomal RNA", at positions 524 to 776 of the family's 1533-position model. The record is from RNAcentral.